GGGGAAUAUUGGACAAUGGGCGAAAGCCUGAUCCAGCGACGCCGCGUGAGUGAAGAAGUAUUUCGGUAUGUAAAGCUCUAUCAGCAGGGAAGAAAAUGACGGUACCUGACUAAGAAGCCCCGGCUAACUACGUGCCAGCAGCCGCGGUAAUACGUAGGGGGCAAGCGUUAUCCGGAUUUACUGGGUGUAAAGGGAGCGUAGACGGUUAAGCAAGUCUGAAGUGAAAGCCCGGGGCUCAACCCCGGUACUGCUUUGGAAACUGUUUGACUUGAGUGCAGGAGAGGUAAGUGGAAUUCCUAGUGUAGCGGUGAAAUGCGUAGAUAUUAGGAGGAACACCAGUGGCGAAGGCGGCUUACUGGACUGUAACUGACGUUGAGGCUCGAAAGCG
This 388-nucleotide ribosomal RNA is filed under the name uncultured bacterium. RNAcentral's name for it is "bacterial SSU rRNA". It matches the Rfam family "Bacterial small subunit ribosomal RNA", at positions 356 to 761 of the family's 1533-position model. The record is from RNAcentral.